GUCAGGCAGAGUGGCAUACCUGUAGUUCCAGUUACUUGGGAGGCUGAGGUGUGAGGAUCGCUUGAGUUCAGGAGUUCUGGGCUGUAGUGUGCUAUGCCUACCUGGUGUCCACGCUAACUUCAUCAUCAAUAUGGUGACCUUCUGGGGGUGGGGAGCCAUCAGGUUGCCUAAGGAGGGGUGAACCAGCCCAGGUAGGAAAUGGAAUAGGUAAAAAAUUCCCGUGCUGAUCUUUGUGGUAUCACACCUGUGAAUAGCCACUGCACUCCAGCCUAGGCAUCAUAACAUCUCUUU
Unclassified non-coding RNA from Propithecus coquereli (Coquerel's sifaka), 291 nucleotides. It matches the Rfam family "Metazoan signal recognition particle RNA". From Rfam's summary of the family: The signal recognition particle (SRP) is a universally conserved ribonucleoprotein. It is involved in the co-translational targeting of proteins to membranes. The record is from Ensembl. Lineage: Eukaryota; Metazoa; Chordata; Mammalia; Primates; Indriidae.